CGAACGGACGAGAAGCUUGCUUCUCUGAUGUUAGCGGCGGACGGGUGAGUAACACGUGGAUAACCUACCUAUAAGACUGGGAUAACUUCGGGAAACCGGAGCUAAUACCGGAUAAUAUUUUGAACCGCAUGAUUCAAAAGUGAAAGACGGUCUUGCUGUCACUUAUAGAUGGAUCCGCGCUGCAUUAGCUAGUUGGUAAGGUAACGGCUUACCAAGGCAACGAUGCAUAGCCGACCUGAGAGGGUGAUCGGCCACACUGGAACUGAGACACGGUCCAGACUCCUACGGGAGGCAGCAGUAGGGAAUCUUCCGCAAUGGGCGAAAGCCUGACGGAGCAACGCCGCGUGAGUGAUGAAGGUCUUCGGAUCGUAAAACUCUGUUAUUAGGGAAGAACAUAUGUGUAAGUAACUGUGCACAUCUUGACGGUACCUAAUCAGAAAGCCACGGCUAACUACGUGCCAGCAGCCGCGGUAAUACGUAGGUGGCAAGCGUUAUCCGGAAUUAUUGGGCGUAAAGCGCGCGUAGGCGGUUUUUUAAGUCUGAUGUGAAAGCCCACGGCUCAACCGUGGAGGGUCAUUGGAAACUGGAAAACUUGAGUGCAGAAGAGGAAAGUGGAAUUCCAUGUGUAGCGGUGAAAUGCGCAGAGAUAUGGAGGAACACCAGUGGCGAAGGCGACUUUCUGGUCUGUAACUGACGCUGAUGUGCGAAAGCGUGGGGAUCAAACAGGAUUAGAUACCCUGGUAGUCCACGCCGUAAACGAUGAGUGCUAAGUGUUAGGGGGUUUCCGCCCCUUAGUGCUGCAGCUAACGCAUUAAGCUACUCCGCCUGGGGAGUACGACCGCAAGGUUG
This 849-nucleotide ribosomal RNA is filed under the name uncultured Staphylococcus sp. RNAcentral's name for it is "bacterial SSU rRNA". It matches the Rfam family "Bacterial small subunit ribosomal RNA", at positions 63 to 896 of the family's 1533-position model. Lineage: Bacteria; Bacillati; Bacillota; Bacilli; Caryophanales; Staphylococcaceae. The record is from RNAcentral.